AGAGUUAAGUUUACAGAUGGUUCUGUAGUAGACCUGCAAAGUCUAUCCAAAUUAAGGGUUCAAUUCCCUCUUAACUCUA
This 79-nucleotide transfer RNA is filed under the name Heterobasidion annosum. RNAcentral describes it as "tRNA-Cys". It matches the Rfam family "tRNA". From Rfam's summary of the family: Transfer RNA (tRNA) molecules are approximately 80 nucleotides in length. Their secondary structure includes four short double-helical elements and three loops (D, anti-codon, and T loops). Further hydrogen bonds mediate the characteristic L-shaped molecular structure. tRNAs have two regions of fundamental functional importance: the anti-codon, which is responsible for specific mRNA codon recognition, and the 3' end, to which the tRNAs corresponding amino acid is attached (by aminoacyl-tRNA synthetases). tRNAs cope with the degeneracy of the genetic code in two manners: having more than one tRNA (with a specific anti-codon) for a particular amino acid; and 'wobble' base-pairing, i.e. permitting non-standard base-pairing at the 3rd anti-codon position. Lineage: Eukaryota; Fungi; Basidiomycota; Agaricomycetes; Russulales; Bondarzewiaceae. The record is from RNAcentral. RNAcentral also lists the same sequence under 4 other names.